Molecule: non-coding RNA, 130 nt
Organism: Pseudopodoces humilis (Tibetan ground-tit)
Lineage: Eukaryota; Metazoa; Chordata; Aves; Passeriformes; Paridae
Source: RefSeq, a predicted model, not a curated record
GCAGCUUUUUUUUCGCCCGCCGGCAUCUGCCGAAGAGAAAUUAGCAAUUAGCAGGAGAAGGAGAUUUCCAAAAGCCCCGAGAUCAGGCCCGGGACCUGCCUGAAGCAGCUUUACAGGAUAUAGCUAAUGC